UGAGGAAUAUUGCGCAAUGGGGGCAACCCUGACGCAGCGACGCCGCGUGAGUGAGGAAGGCCUUCGGGUCGUAAAGCUCUGUCAAAGGGAAAGAAGUGCAUGGUGGCUAAUACCUGCCAUGUUUGACGGUACCCUUAAAGGAAGCACCGGCUAACUCCGUGCCAGCAGCCGCGGUAAUACGGAGGGUGCAAGCGUUGUUCGGAAUCACUGGGCGUAAAGGGCGCGUAGGCGGUUUGAUAAGUCAGAUGUGAAAGCCCACGGCUUAACUGUGGAAGUGCAUUUGAAACUGUCAGACUUGAGUAUCAGAUGGGAAAGUGGAAUUCCCGGUGUAGAGGUGAAAUUCGUAGAUAUCGGGAGGAAUACCGGUGGCGAAGGCGACUUUCUGGCCCGAUACUGACGCUCAGGCGCGAAAGCGUGGGGUGCAAACA
RNAcentral lists this ribosomal RNA (428 nucleotides) under uncultured prokaryote. RNAcentral's name for it is "bacterial SSU rRNA". It matches the Rfam family "Bacterial small subunit ribosomal RNA", at positions 355 to 774 of the family's 1533-position model. The record is from RNAcentral.